GAUGAAGAACGCAGCGAAAUGCGAUAAGUAAUGUGAAUUGCAGAAUUCAGUGAAUCAUCGAAUCUUUGAACGCACAUUGCGCCCCUUGGUAUUCCGAGGGGCAUGCCUGUUCGAGCGUCAUUACACCACUCAAGCUAUGCUUGGUAUUGGGCGUCGUCCUUAGUUGGGCGCGCCUUAAAGACCUCGGCGAGGCCACUCCGGCUUUAGGCGUAGUAGAAUUUAUUCGAACGUCUGUCAAAGGAGAGGAACUCUGCCGACCGAAACCUUUAUUUUUCUAGGUUGACCUCGGAUCAGGUAGGGAUACCCGCUGAACUUAAGCAUAUCAAUAAGCGGAGGA
RNAcentral lists this unclassified non-coding RNA (337 nucleotides) under soil metagenome. RNAcentral's name for it is "partial contains 5.8S ribosomal RNA, internal transcribed spacer 2, and large subunit ribosomal RNA". The stretch from base 1 to 120 matches the Rfam family "5.8S ribosomal RNA", at positions 35 to 154 of the family's 154-position model. The record is from RNAcentral.